Long non-coding RNA from Alnus glutinosa, 923 nucleotides. RefSeq lists it as uncharacterized. The transcript has 2 exons. Lineage: Eukaryota; Viridiplantae; Streptophyta; Magnoliopsida; Fagales; Betulaceae. The record is from RefSeq and is a predicted model, not a curated record.
CUGACUUGGCAUUUGACGGAAUCUGUUAAAAAAUUUAACAGAAUUUGACGCCAGGGAUCGAUUUGUAAUUAUUGCAUACCACGAGGAUCUCCCAGUAAUUUUUUAAACCAUAGGGAGUAAAAAAUAAUUAUGGAAUACCACAGGGACCAACGGUGCAAUUUUCCCUUAAUUACUUUAAAGAGAAUUAAAAUAUGAAGAAAGCAAAAUAAACUUAACAUUCGCCAGUGCUAAAGGAUAUUAGACAUUCUUUUGUGCUUUGGCUUGCUUUUCAUGGUGCUUUGAUCACAAAGGAAAAAAAGUGCAGCUGGGGUUUUAAUGUAGGCGUAUCUGGUAUACUAUCAUGAGGGACUGUUCAAUACCUUGCCCCCCCUGUUGAGUGGGACGAUAUUGCAGAUUGGUGUGGUUCGGUAAUGAAGGGGAAUAGUUUCUAUGCUAGUUUCAGGAAACUAUAUUUUGGGGCUGCUGUUUACCACCUAUGGAGACAGAAGAAUCUUCUUCUUCACGGCAAGACUCCUUUGACCGAAGAGAGGAUUAUCUCCAAGAUUAGAUGGAAGGUGAAGACUAGAAUGGUUUAUAAAUUCCUUUCGAAAUUUCCUUGUAACCGUAGAUGAUGGCCUGUUGAUGGUGUUUUCUGCAGAUUUCUUUUCUGUUUGUUGGUGUUUGCUGCUAUGCAGGUCUGGUUUUCUGUGGGAGGGGGUUGUGUGUGUAUUAGGUUAUUGUUUGUUGCAUGUGGUAGUGGUUUAGCAGGUUCUUUUUCUGUUCAAGUUGUGUUCCUUGCUUGGGGAUUGUCCUAUGCAGGAUUUGUAUCUAGUUUUAACUGGAGCGUAAGGAUGUUGAGUUUUGAGCUUAUGAAGGGUUUUUAUUCAUCUAAAAAAGUGGAGGUGGGGGAAUAAAUUCAAAAGGCAGAAUUCUACACCGUACAA